CCUACGGGGGGCUGCAGUGGGGAAUAUUGGACAAUGGGCGAAAGCCUGAUCCAGCCAUGCCGCGUGUGUGAAGAAGGCCUUCGGGUUGUAAAGCACUUUCAGUGGGGAAGAAAGCCUUGGGGCUAAUACCCUCGAGGAAGGACAUCACCCACAGAAGAAGCACCGGCUAACUCCGUGCCAGCAGCCGCGGUAAUACGGAGGGUGCGAGCGUUAAUCGGAAUUACUGGGCGUAAAGCGCGCGUAGGCGGUCUGAUAAGCCGGUUGUGAAAGCCCCGGGCUCAACCUGGGAACGGCAUCCGGAACUGUCAGGCUAGAGGGCAGGAGAGGAAGGUAGAAUUCCCGGUGUAGCGGUGAAAUGCGUAGAGAUCGGGAGGAAUACCAGUGGCGAAGGCGGCCUUCUGGACUGACACUGACGCUGAGGUGCGAAAGCGUGGGUAGCAAACAGGAUUAGAUACCCUGUAGUC
RNAcentral lists this ribosomal RNA (464 nucleotides) under Vreelandella stevensii. RNAcentral's name for it is "partial 16S ribosomal RNA". It matches the Rfam family "Bacterial small subunit ribosomal RNA", at positions 338 to 795 of the family's 1533-position model. Lineage: Bacteria; Pseudomonadati; Pseudomonadota; Gammaproteobacteria; Oceanospirillales; Halomonadaceae. The record is from RNAcentral.